CAUUUGGUAGCUCAUCGGGUAGAGCAACAGAAUUCGGUUCUGUCGGUAGUGGGUUCGAUUCCCAUCCAAAUGUCCA
Molecule: transfer RNA, 76 nt
Filed under: Stieleria marina
Lineage: Bacteria; Pseudomonadati; Planctomycetota; Planctomycetia; Pirellulales; Pirellulaceae
Description: Planctomycetes bacterium K23_9 tRNA-Arg
Rfam family: tRNA
About the family: Transfer RNA (tRNA) molecules are approximately 80 nucleotides in length.
Source: RNAcentral